This 433-nucleotide ribosomal RNA is filed under the name uncultured bacterium. RNAcentral describes it as "partial 16S ribosomal RNA". It matches the Rfam family "Bacterial small subunit ribosomal RNA", at positions 29 to 507 of the family's 1533-position model. The record is from RNAcentral.
AACGAACGCUGGCGGCAUGCCUAACACAUGCAAGUCGAACGAGACCUUCGGGUCUAGUGGCGCACGGGUGCGUAACGCGUGGGAACCUGCCCUUAGGUUCGGAAUAACUCCCCGAAAGGUGUGCUAAUACCGGUUAAUGUCUUCGGACCAAAGAUUUAUCGCCUUUGGAUGGGUCCGCGUUGGAUUAGCUAGUUGGUAGGGUAAAAGCCUACCAAGGCGACGAUCCAUAGCUGGUCUGAGAGGAUGAUCAGCCACACUGGGACUGAGACACGGCCAAGAAUAGGACGGGAGGGAGCAGAGGGGAAUAGUGGAAAAUGGGGGAAAGCAUGAACAAGCAGGGACGGGUGAGUGAUGAAGGCCUUAGGGUUGUAAAGCUAUUUUACACGGGAUGAUAAUGACAGUACCGGGAGAAUAAGCACCGGCUAACUCCGUG